RNAcentral lists this unclassified non-coding RNA (269 nucleotides) under uncultured Mortierella. RNAcentral describes it as "sequence contains ITS2". Lineage: Eukaryota; Fungi; Mortierellomycota; Mortierellomycetes; Mortierellales; Mortierellaceae. The record is from RNAcentral.
AAACACCCUCAGUUCCCCUCUCUCUCGUUUCGACGGAGGAAAGGGGAGUUGGACUUGAGUGAUCCCAACGGCAGUGAUUUUUUGGAACACUGCUGGCGGGUCGCUUGAAAUGCAGGUGCGGCUGGACACAUCUUCUGAGCUAUAAGCAUUACUUAUUUAGUCCCGUUAAACGGAUUAUAUCUUAUUGCUGCAGCUAAUAUAAAGGUCGAUUGUCUUUGUGCCCGACUGAUGCAGGAAGACAAAGGGAGAUGAAAGUCUCUUUUUGUUCA